AUGUCCCCCCGCCCCCUCCCGGUGGCUUGGAGUGCUCCUGCCGCUGUGUCGGUCCGCGUGUCCGCGUCCCAGGGGCGUCUCGGGGCCAGCGGGCAGGUGGGUCCUACUUCUGUCCGUUCGGUCACCCUGUUCCUUCAGUGGGAGCAUGUAGUCCAUUUAGGCUCAGGUCGCGUAACUCCUUUUGUUGCCCCUGGUUCCGUGUUCUCCAGCGUCUGUACCGCAUCCGCCUUCCUCCCGGUGUUUGGUCUUGGUCCUCUGCGGCGGGGGCGCCUCGCCGGGUCCUUGCCCGCGGCCCCCGGCAGCGCUGCCCAGGGCGGGGGUCCUCUCCGGAGCCCGGGGGCGCCUGGGGGUCCGUACCUGGCGUCGCGGGUGUCGGGGCGCAGGUCGGGCCGCGCCGCCUUGCUGUGGGCUCCGGUGCCGCCCCCGGCACGCGCCCGAGCGCCGCGGGGAGGCGGGUUCGCGGCGGGGGGGGGCGGGGGGCCCGGGGGUCCGCGGCGCCCCGGAAGCCACGGUUGUUGCGGCUCCUCCUGCGGCCGCCCCGGGCGGAGGGGGGCGGGGCUCCGGGGGCGGGGCUCCGGGUGCGCCCCGUGCUGUGCCCCGGCCCCCCCCCCCACCCCCCCCCCCCGCGGGUUCCCACGCCCUUGCAGGUGGCCGGCCGCGGGGAGCCCCGGGGGGCGGGGGCGGGGGCUUGGGCCGCGGCGGGGGCGGGGCUGUGCGGGGCUGUGCGGGCGGCGCUCCCCGCAGGCCGGGUCGCGGGCUCGAGGCCCCAGGCCCGGGCUCCUGUCCACGGAGGGCCCCGCCACGUCGGCCCCCGGGGGCGGUGAGCUCCGCUGGGAGGAGGGCGCUCCCGCCCCGGGCUGCCCUGGGCCCGCCCCUGUGGAGGCUGCGGGUUGGGUCCUGUCCACGCCGCCCCCGCCCCCUCCUCCCUGCAGGGUCCCCCAUCCCCGCCCAUCCCCGCCCAUCCCCGCAGCCCCUACCCCUCUGCGCACCUUGGCCCUGACCUGGGCACUGCUGUCGGCGGGGGGGGGGUACGGCGGGCGCCAGGCGGCUCCCCGGGCUGCGUCCCUCCCACCAACUGCCUCGCGCCCCCGCACCCCGUGCACACCUCGCGCCCCCCCUUUACAUCCAGCCGCAGUUUCCUCUACUCUAGGGGCAAUCAACUUUAUUACCACUGUUAUUAAUAUAAAACCCCCAGCUAUGUCUCAAUAUCAGACCCCUUCACUUGAAUGA
RNAcentral lists this long non-coding RNA (1230 nucleotides) under Canis lupus dingo (dingo). RNAcentral describes it as "lncRNA (ENSCAFG00020004195.1)". Lineage: Eukaryota; Metazoa; Chordata; Mammalia; Carnivora; Canidae. The record is from RNAcentral.